Molecule: ribosomal RNA, 386 nt
Filed under: Foraminifera environmental sample
Lineage: Eukaryota; Foraminifera
Description: partial small subunit ribosomal RNA
Rfam family: Eukaryotic small subunit ribosomal RNA
Source: RNAcentral
GUGGAGCAUGUGGCUUAAUUUGACUCAACGCGGGAAAUCUUACCGGGUCCGGACACACUGAGGAUUGACAGGCAUUAUCAUUUAAGUGAAUUUCGGUUCAUUUUUAUGUGUAAAUAUGCUAGUCCUUUCAUGAUUAUGUGAUAGGUGGUGCAUGGCUGUUCUUAGUUCGUGGAGUGAUCUGUCUGCUUAAUUGCGUUUCACUAGGAGCUUAUAACACAAACGUAUGUUUGCUAGCGUAUUUUGACCCCCAUUUGAUUAUUUCACAUUUUUUUGGUUUUUUUUUUUUAAAAAAAAUCAAAUUUUUGUGAUUUAAGAAGAUGCGUGUGUUUGUCAUUUAUGCAUCAAAGCAUCAUACAAUUAAGCUCUGAAAGCAACGAACGUGACCG